GCUGGAAGGGAAGAGAGCUCUGGGCGAGGACUCCAAGCCUUGGUGGGUUUGUUCAAGGAUUUUUUAUUUAUUUAUUUAUUUUCACUUUUAUUGACUUUGUUUCUGUUAUUUCGAGUCGUCACGAUCCACGGGUGAGGAGACAUGCAGGGAGCAUCGCCGCUACCGAGAGAGCAACUACGGGGAGGGGCAGGGUGGCCCGGCCAGGGCGCACGAGGGCGCGCGGGGCGCAGCAGAGAAGGGCCUGCCCAGAGGCUGGGGCUGCCACCUGUGAUCUUGCCGGCCAGGGCAGAGCAGCCCGGGCAGAGCUGGGGGAGAGAGAGUUGAGAAGCGGAGCAGAGACAGGGAAACAAUCAGAGGUCAAGACGCGGGGAGACGGAGACAGAGGGCGAGAGCAGCGGGGAGGACGGAGGUGAAGGGGGCGGGGGGGGGAGGGAGAUGCCAGGAGGAGAGAGCGAAAACACGAAUUACAGAGAAACAGCCAACAAAACAGAGGCGAGAGGAGUCCACGGGACCAUGUUCGUCAUUUUGCAUAGAGAUUUUUUUCUUUCGUAAUAGUUUCGUAACAUUAAAAAAAAAAAAACGUUGUCCCCCUCCUCCAGGCUUGUGCUGUGCUUCGGCGGGCGGCCCCCUCCCCCGCGAGCGGCGACUCUCACAGCACACGCGGCGGGGAGGAUCUACAGGCAGGGCCGGCGGGGGGGCCGGGACUCGACGGGGCGGGGUGCGCGGAGGGUGGGGGAGAGGCUAUGUACACUGGGGUUCGCCUUCACACGACACACACCGUCUUUCUAAAAAGCAGCAGCCUGUUGGUUUUUUUUUCUUCCUUUUGAUCCUUUUUGCAAUGACCAUCCUAUUAAAUAAGUGUAGGCUUUUUUUUUUUUUUUGCGGUUCUUGUUCAUUUCCUGCCCGAGGGGGAGGGCUGGGGUGGGGC
Molecule: long non-coding RNA, 928 nt
Organism: Perognathus longimembris pacificus (Pacific pocket mouse)
Lineage: Eukaryota; Metazoa; Chordata; Mammalia; Rodentia; Heteromyidae
Exons: 4
Source: RefSeq, a predicted model, not a curated record